Molecule: long non-coding RNA, 700 nt
Filed under: Cyanistes caeruleus (blue tit)
Lineage: Eukaryota; Metazoa; Chordata; Aves; Passeriformes; Paridae
Description: lncRNA (ENSCCEG00000005181.1)
Source: RNAcentral
CAUAUUUUGGGGUUUUUUUUCAGAUUUCUCAGGUCACCACAUGAACUGUGACAUAGUUUCUCAAAUGUUGCUAUAGCCUAUGAACAUUAUCAGCCUCAGAAAGCUCUUAUUUUGGCCCUGUAAAAGCUCCGCCUGCAUUAACAACACCAAACAACACUGAAGGCCCAUUUGCUUUCUGCGGUCCAUUGGCGAGGAGAAAACUGCCUGCUCACCGAUGCUGCAGCUGGUCUCACAAAGCAGCAGCCUGGAAGAGAAAACCCACUCACAAUUCAGUGCCUUCAGGUAGUUUUAGAGAACUAGUGAGACCCACACACCUAAAUUUGUCUCCAGCAUCAAGGUCUAAGAGAAAAAUCCCAGCAAAGUGCCCAGUGCAGUCCUGGAUUUUUCAAGGUAAAAGAGCCUUUCUGUCAGAUAUAUUUUUAACUGAUUUUUACCAUAAAACCUCAAAUAUUUUCUUUUUACUUUCAUUUUUUUUCCUGACACAAAAACAGCAUAGAAAAUAAGGAAGGAGUAAGCUUCCUACAUCUCUGCAACUGUUCUCAUCAUGACAGAAAUUGUUCUCGGUCGCCCAGGGUGGGAUUUAUGCAAUGUAAGAAAUUUUGGAGCUGUAUAACUGAUGAUUACUCAGGAAAGUACAGUUGCUCUUUCGGCUACUUUUUGGCACCAACAAUAAAGUAACUUCUAUAUUUUAAAAUUUUCA